CAGAGGCAAUAUAAGCACAUGCUAACUCUGAAAAAAUUAAAUAAAAUCAUGUAUUGAACUAUGGUCAGAAUACAGCCUUUGAACCGUACAAAGACGUUCAUUCUGUGGAAGAAAAGCAGCAUGCAAUCCAGAAUGCAAAAUCAUAAGUCUUCUCUGCAAAGGGCAGUGUAUGAGGUUUAGUCAGAAUAUUCCAGGAGUGUUUUUCCAAUGAAAAUUCUGAAGCAGAUUCCUUGUUAGAAACAUAAAACACCUGUAUGAUGAUGUUGAGGGACAGUUUCUCAGUAGGAGCAGGACUGAGUCACUGGAGAGCACAUGCAGAACUGAUGCCGUUCAGAAGUGUCUGCCUUGAGUGCAAGUGAGCUACAUCUUACAUGAGAAGACAUUGAAUUACGACAGUACAGCUCCCCAUUUUAUAUCAAGCCAAGAAGUAGAUUAAAUCUCUUUCUGUGCUUUGAGGCUUCCUCCAGUGCUUUGGUUAACAUGAGUAUUUGGAUGUGGGGUUAGUUCUCUAGCUCCAUUUUGCAAGUAUUUUACUUAACUUGGAGUCUAAGCCACCAAAGCAAGAUGUUCACUGGAAAUUCUGUUUGUGGUGGUAAAGAGGCUCAAAACUACAACCUCAAAGCAUUGCAAAGUUUCAACAGGUAGAAUAAACAGACUCCGAGAUGGGAUAAUCUGACUGCUUUGUUCAUCCUGAGCAGUGACCAAAGUGAAGAGACCAGGCUGAUACUUUACUAUAGCAGAUUUCUAGCAUCAGAAGUGACUUUUGUCUUCCCAGCAAAGUGUGGUACCCAAAGCACAUGGGCUCCUGGAGUGCAUCUUCCCCUCUGUAGCUUGACACAGAACUGGAGAAAGGGAAAGGGAAACAGGGGCUGGCACUACAGGAGUGUUUCCGUGCUACAAGAGAUUAAGCUGAGUCCUCAAAGUGACGUGGAAAUGGACCUAAGAGUGGUUUACAAAAUCAUAAUCAAGGGGCCAGCAAAUGCAGAAUAAACACAGUGCAAAAAGUAAGGAGCCCCAGGUGUAUACACUGUUAGGACGCAGAAUGCUAUAAAGACCAAGAAAACGAAAUAUUUCCAAGAGAAAUUGGACAAAAUCAUGGGAAGAGGCCCAUGAGGGUAUUGAAUAGAGUUAUGAGUUGAAUAGAAAUUGUUGCAUCUCCGGAGUUAAUGCUGACAGUGUUGGAACAAUGAUUCCUUGAAAGCCUUUCUUCUGAGCAAUAUAGGCUGAGAAAUUACCCCUGCUAUUCCAAUAGUUUUAAUGAAGUUGGCAGAUGUCAAUGGG
This 1281-nucleotide long non-coding RNA is filed under the name Gallus gallus (chicken). RNAcentral's name for it is "long non-coding RNA NONGGAT009029". Lineage: Eukaryota; Metazoa; Chordata; Aves; Galliformes; Phasianidae. The record is from RNAcentral.